RNAcentral lists this ribosomal RNA (263 nucleotides) under uncultured bacterium. Its description in RNAcentral is "partial 16S ribosomal RNA". It matches the Rfam family "Bacterial small subunit ribosomal RNA", at positions 91 to 354 of the family's 1533-position model. The record is from RNAcentral.
AUUAGUGGCGGACGGGUGAGUAACGCGUGGAUAACCUGCCGUAUACAGGGGGAUAACACUUAGAAAUAGGUGCUAAUACCGCAUAAGCGCACGGUUCCGCAUGGAACAGUGUGAAAAACUCCGGUGGUAUACGAUGGAUCCGCGUCUGAUUAGCCAGUUGGCGGGGUAACGGCCCACCAAAGCGACGAUCAGUAGCCGGCCUGAGAGGGUGAACGGCAACAUUGGGACUGAGACACGGCCCAAACUCCUACGGAAGGCAGCAG